UGAACUCACGGUCAACAAAGAGACCUGGCAGCAGAAGUUGGAGGAAAACAGAUUCAAGGAACUGGAUUACCAACAACAGUCCUUGGAGUAAGUAACAGGGUUACUCUCCACCAACAUUUCUCUUCAAGAAGAGCUGCACAAGGAGCAGGCCAACAACCACCAGUUGGUAGAAGAACACAAACUGCUAAAGAUCAAGACAGAGGCUCUGGAUGAGACUAUCAGGGAGAACGAGGGUUUAUCUCUGAAGCUCACCGAGACCAAAAAAAAACUUUCUGUCAUAAGUGCUGAUCUCAGGGUCAACAACGAGACCUGGCAGCAGUUGGAAGCAGAAAACAAACUGCUGAAGACCCAGAGGGAUUCUCUGGCUGCUUUAAAAAAGAGCCACCACCAUGAGGAGACCCACCACGAGAUGGUCACAAGCAGUGGUUUUGUGGUUUCACUGAGUUGUGUCUGAUCUCUAAGAUCCAACAAACGGAGGAUACCAUUCCCAAAGAACAUCAGAUCCUUAUCACCAGGAUCCAAGAAUUAGAGGAGGACAAAACAGUCCUUGAAAACAUCUGCCUCGACUUAAAGAAACGGACCGGCAGACGGAGAUGGACAAAAUGAGGUGCAAGAUGCAGGACAAGGAGACAAAGAAAUAGGAGAGAGAAAAGAAGAAAAAGGAGACCAUCCAGGACGUCAAGAUCAACGUGCCUGAGACUGGACACAAUAGAAGACCUCAGGUCAAGCUGCCCUCCUCCUUGGUCCAGCGAGAGGGCUUUGAAAGCCAGACACAGAAGAGGCAAUCAUCCAUCUAUACCUGAAAUUAGCUGCUGUCUUCAUUUAAUGCACCGCUGAGGUUUCAUUGAUCAGUGCAGACUGGCAUGAGCCCAAG
Molecule: long non-coding RNA, 874 nt
Organism: Gasterosteus aculeatus aculeatus (three-spined stickleback)
Lineage: Eukaryota; Metazoa; Chordata; Actinopteri; Perciformes; Gasterosteidae
Source: Ensembl